GUUAAAAUACACGUUAAUACGUCUCGAAGCUUGCACAGCAUUCGCGAUUAUUUUGCUUUAGCUGGUGAUGGUGUUAACUGAAAGCGCAGAUAUACAUUAAUGCGAGUCUUAAUGUGAAGUUUGAGAUUUCUCUGUUGACUUCUUAUCCACUGAAUGAAUUUCAGUUGGAUAGCAUACGCUUCAGUUCCAGUUUUCCCGGAUUUAACCGUUGUUUUCUCACCUUUGCAUCUAGGUAAGACGUUUGCUCACCUGAGUGGUUAAAUGCUGUUGCAAAUGUUUUUCUCAAAGUACUGGAAACAAUGAUGGAGUUUUGAAAUCAACAUUGAGGCCCAACAUCAUAUGGAGUUAAUGUACCACCACUAGUGAAGAAUGCCAUGUACUGCCAGAAGUUUCCUCAACAUAUCGAAGUAUUGCUGCACCUGGUGCAUAUGUUCCUGUUACCCAGAUAUACUGAGCAAUAAAUAUGAUGGUGGCAGUACUUGACUUAAUGCUAAAAAUGCUGCAGGGUGGAAUGCAUUUGAGGAAUGAGGGGAAAAAGAGCCUUGCGUGUUGGCAACAUGGAAACUGUUUCAGAGAGAUGUUAUACGUUACCUGACAAUUCACUCUUUCUCGCGGACGUCCAGCAUUUUAUCCGGAGAAUAAAUCCAAGCAAAUUGCGUUGUCCAAAUUUGCAGUAAUUUCUAUUAUGUGUGGUCAGAUGUUUUAUGGAAAUAUAAAUCAUAGAACGAA
Molecule: long non-coding RNA, 729 nt
Organism: Daphnia carinata
Lineage: Eukaryota; Metazoa; Arthropoda; Branchiopoda; Diplostraca; Daphniidae
Exons: 6
Source: RefSeq, a predicted model, not a curated record